AUACGGAGGGUGCAAGCGUUGUUCGGAAUCACUGGGCGUAAAGGGCGCGCAGGCGGUUUGGUAAGUCAGAUGUGAAAGCCCACGGCUCAACCGUGGAAGUGCAUUUGAAACUGUCAGACUUGAGUACUAGAGGGGAAAGUGGAAUUCCCGGUGUAGAGGUGAAAUUCGUAGAUAUCGGGAGGAAUACCGGUGGCGAAGGCGACUUUCUGGCUAGAUACUGACGCUGAGGCUCGAAAGCGUGGGGAGCAAACAGGAUUAGAUACCCUAGUAGUCC
RNAcentral lists this ribosomal RNA (274 nucleotides) under uncultured bacterium. RNAcentral's name for it is "partial 16S ribosomal RNA". It matches the Rfam family "Bacterial small subunit ribosomal RNA", at positions 523 to 796 of the family's 1533-position model. The record is from RNAcentral.